RNAcentral lists this non-coding RNA (21 nucleotides) under Caenorhabditis elegans. The record is from RNAcentral. Lineage: Eukaryota; Metazoa; Nematoda; Chromadorea; Rhabditida; Rhabditidae.
UGAGUCCGUGGGUGGAAUCUA